UACGGAGGGUGCAAGCGUUGCUCGGAAUUAUUGGGCGUAAAGGGUAGGUAGGUGGUCUUAUUUGUCUGGGGUGAAAGCCUUGAGCUUAACUCAAGAAGUGCCCCAGAAACGGUGAGACUAGAGUCCUGGAGAGGGUCGUGGAAUUCCCGGUGUAGCGGUGAAAUGCGUAGAGAUCGGGAGGAACACCAGAGGCGAAGGCGGCGACCUGGACAGGUACUGACACUCAACUACGAAAGCGCGGGGAGCAAACAGG
This 253-nucleotide ribosomal RNA is filed under the name uncultured bacterium. RNAcentral's name for it is "partial 16S ribosomal RNA". It matches the Rfam family "Bacterial small subunit ribosomal RNA", at positions 524 to 776 of the family's 1533-position model. The record is from RNAcentral.